Molecule: ribosomal RNA, 253 nt
Filed under: uncultured bacterium
Lineage: Bacteria
Description: partial 16S ribosomal RNA
Rfam family: Bacterial small subunit ribosomal RNA
Source: RNAcentral
UACGGGGGGGGCAAGCGUUGUUCGGAAUUACUGGGCGUAAAGGGCUCGUAGGCGGCCAACUAAGUCGGAUGUGAAAUCCCCAGGCUCAACCUGGGAACUGCAUCCGAUACUGGAUGGCUUGAAUCCGGGAGAGGGAUGCAGAAUUCCAGGUGUAGCGGUGAAAUGCGUAGAUAUCUGGAGGAAUACCGGUGGCGAAGGCGGCAUCCUGGACCGGCAUUGACGCUGAGGAGCGAAAGCUGGGGGAGCAAACGGG